GCGGGAGUAGCUCAGGGGUAGAGCAUCAGCUUCCCAAGCUGAGGGNNCGCGGGUUCGAAUCCCGUUUCCCGCUCAA
This 76-nucleotide transfer RNA is filed under the name Bacteroidales bacterium. RNAcentral's name for it is "tRNA-Gly". It matches the Rfam family "tRNA". Rfam says of the family: Transfer RNA (tRNA) molecules are approximately 80 nucleotides in length. Their secondary structure includes four short double-helical elements and three loops (D, anti-codon, and T loops). Lineage: Bacteria; Pseudomonadati; Bacteroidota; Bacteroidia; Bacteroidales. The record is from RNAcentral.